GUGCUCCCUUUGGCAGCACAUAUACUAAAGUUGGAACAAUACAGCAAAGAUUAUCAUGGCCCCUGCAUAAGGGUGACGCACACAUUUGUGAAGCAUUUCCAUAUUUU
Small nuclear RNA from Acomys russatus (golden spiny mouse), 107 nucleotides. NCBI's taxonomy places the organism in Eukaryota, Metazoa, Chordata, Mammalia, Rodentia, Muridae. The record is from RefSeq and is a predicted model, not a curated record.